UGGCCGGACCGGCGCCGACGGGUGUAAGGUAACCGACGUUACUACCCUAACCUCGUCCCUUUACUUAGUGGACGACGCCCGUACGGAAGCGGAUUAAUACCGUAUGUUGUCAUGUUGAUGCAUAUUUUCAUGACCAAAGGCUUCGGCCGGUAAAGGAUGGGGAUGCGUCUGAUUAGCUUGCCGGCGGGGUAACGGCCCACCGGGGCGACGAUCAGUAGGGGUUCUGAGAGGAAGGUCCCCCACAUUGGAACUGAGACACGGUCCAAACUCCUACGGAAGGCAGCAG
RNAcentral lists this ribosomal RNA (286 nucleotides) under uncultured bacterium. RNAcentral's name for it is "partial 16S ribosomal RNA". It matches the Rfam family "Bacterial small subunit ribosomal RNA", at positions 85 to 354 of the family's 1533-position model. The record is from RNAcentral.